Molecule: ribosomal RNA, 433 nt
Filed under: uncultured bacterium
Lineage: Bacteria
Description: partial 16S ribosomal RNA
Rfam family: Bacterial small subunit ribosomal RNA
Source: RNAcentral
AACGAACGCUGGCGGCAUGCCUAACACAUGCAAGUCGAACGAGACCUUCGGGCCUAGUGGCGCACGGGUGCGUAACGCGUGGGAACCUGCCCUUAGGCUCGGAAUAACUCCCCGAAAGGGGUGCCAAUACCGGAUAAUGUCUCCGGACCAAAGAUUUAUCGCCUCUGGAUGGGCCCGCGUUGGAUUAGCUAGUUGGUAGGGUAAAAGCCUACCAAGGCGACGAUCCAUAGCUGGUCUGAGAGGAUGAUCAGCCACACUGGGACUGAGACACGGCCCAGACUCCUACGGGAGGCAGCAGUGGGGAAUAUUGGACAAUGGGCGGAAGCCUGAUCCAGCAAUGCCGCGUGAGUGAUGAAGGCCUUAGGGUUGUAAAGCUCUUUUACCCGGGAUGAUAAUGACGGUACCGGGAGAAUAAGCUCCGGCUAACUCCGUG